AUACCGGCAGCCCGAGUGAUGGCCGAUCUUAUUGGGCCUAAAGCGUCCGUAGCUGGCCGCACAAGUCCAUCGGAAAAUCCACCCGCUCAACGGGUGGGCAUCCGGUGGAAACUGUGUGGCUUGGGACCGGAAGGCGCGACGGGUACGUCCGGGGUAGGAGUGAAAUCCUGUAAUCCUGGACGGACCGCCGAUGGCGAAAGCACGUCGCGAGAACGGAUCCGACAGUGAGGGACGAAAGCUAGGGUCUCGAACCGGAUUAGAUACCCGGGUAGUCCUAGCCGUAAACAAUGCCUGCUAGGUGUGGCUCCCACUACGAGUGGGUGCUGUGCCGUAGGGAAGCCGCUAAGCAGGCCGCCUGGGAAGUACGUCCGCAAGGAUGAA
This 381-nucleotide ribosomal RNA is filed under the name uncultured bacterium. Its description in RNAcentral is "bacterial SSU rRNA". It matches the Rfam family "Archaeal small subunit ribosomal RNA", at positions 473 to 853 of the family's 1478-position model. RNAcentral also lists the same sequence under 1 other name. The record is from RNAcentral.